UACGGGGGGGGCAAGCGUUGUUCGGAAUUACUGGGCGUAAAGGGCUCGUAGGUGGCCAACUAAGUCAGACGUGAAAUCCCUCGGCUUAACCGGGGAACUGCGUCUGAUACUGGAUGGCUUGAGUUUGGGAGAGGGACGCGGAAUUCCAGGUGUAGCGGUGAAAUGCGUAGAGAUGUGGAGGAACACCAGUGGCGAAGGCGACUCUUUGGCCUGUAACUGACGCUGAGGCGCGAAAGCGUGGGGAGCAAACAGG
Molecule: ribosomal RNA, 253 nt
Filed under: uncultured bacterium
Lineage: Bacteria
Description: partial 16S ribosomal RNA
Rfam family: Bacterial small subunit ribosomal RNA
Source: RNAcentral